GAAAUGCGAUAAGUAAUGUGAAUUGCAGAAUUCAGUGAAUCAUCGAAUCUUUGAACGCACAUUGCGCCCGCCAGUAUUCUGGCGGGCAUGCCUGUCCGAGCGUCAUUUCAACCAUCAAGCCCCCGGGCUUGUGUUGGGGACCUGCGGCUGCCCGCAGGCCCUGAAAACCAGUGGCGGGCUCGCUGUCACACCGAGCGUAGUAGCAACCACCUCGCUCAGGGCGUGCUGCGGGUUCCGGCCGUUAAACAGCCUUACAAAACCCCAGGUUGACCUCGGAUCAGGUAGGAAGACCCGCUGAACUUAAGC
RNAcentral lists this unclassified non-coding RNA (306 nucleotides) under plant metagenome. RNAcentral's name for it is "partial contains 5.8S ribosomal RNA, internal transcribed spacer 2, and large subunit ribosomal RNA". The stretch from base 1 to 105 matches the Rfam family "5.8S ribosomal RNA", at positions 50 to 154 of the family's 154-position model. The record is from RNAcentral.